This 1422-nucleotide long non-coding RNA is filed under the name Calidris pygmaea (Spoon-billed sandpiper). Its description in RNAcentral is "lncRNA (ENSCPGG00000016290.1)". Lineage: Eukaryota; Metazoa; Chordata; Aves; Charadriiformes; Scolopacidae. The record is from RNAcentral.
AUGUACCCUCAGACGUUUCCACCCAAAAUAAAGUUUUUUACAUGCAGAGUAGUAAGUUUUUAUGCCCCGGGGAGGACUCAGAGACUUCGGUCGGGGCUGCCUGACUCUCCCCCAGCCGCGACGGCGGGAGGACUUCGCCCUCCUCCCGCCGCCGGCCCACCAGCUCCGCCGCGCUGCCCCUGGCGCCCUUCCCCGCUCCCCGCCAUCUCCAUUUCCCGCUCCCGGGACCUGAACCCGGAGGCUCCGAAGCCACUCGGGAGUCGGGGCGCCCCAGCCCGCCCCUCCGUCCGCGGGGUCGCCGCCGCCACGGGCCCUCCCGCCGGCGGGCGGGCGGGCGGCGCAGCCAAGGCCGUCGGGCCGGCGAGGCCGCUCCUCCCCGCAGGCCCCGGUUCUCCCCCCCGCCACCCCGCCCGCUUCCCCCCCUCUCCUCCUCCUCCUCCUCCCCGCGGCGCCUCGUCGUUGUUUGAACCCGAAACGGAAAUGAGACUCGCGGCGCCGGGGAGAAACGGAAACAAAACACGGGCCGCCAGGCCGCGCCGCGCUCGCUCGCUCGCUCACCCGCCGCCGCCGUCCGCCGCCGCGCCGGCCCCUAAGCGGAGCGGCCGCACAAUCGCCUCCCCGCCAGCCGCGGCCCUCGCAGCCCCAGCGGGUCCCGGCCGCGGUCCCGGUCCCGCCGCCACCGCCCUGAGGAGACCGUCGCGCGCCGGGGAUUGGGCAGCGCGGCCCAGCGCGGGCCCGGGCGGGAAGGGCGCGCCCAGACCGCCACCCCCCGCGCGGGGGCGGGAACUACAGCUCCCAGCCACCACCGGGGCCCGGCGCUGCGGCGGCACCGGGCGGUGCGGGGGGGGGAGGUGUGGGGGUGUGUGUGUGUGUGCGCGCUCCGGCAGCUUCCCGGCGUGCACCGCGCGGGGAGGCGGAGCGGAGCGGGGUCGUGGCGGCGGCGGUGACUCUCCCAAGGUGACUGGGGCUGGGCCCGGCGGCCCCGUGGCUGCCCUUUGCCUGCCUCCUGAGGUGCCGAGGGUGGGCUCGUCCUCCGUCGGUGUGGGCUUAGGGUACCCGGGCUCCGGGGCGAACGGCGCCGCCCGGCCCUGCCGCCUGCGGGUGGUGCCCGGCCGGGUGAGAGGGAGAAUGGGGGUCGGCGGGGCCAGUGGUGCUGCUGCUGCUGCGGCUGGCUUUGGCUGGGUUAAAACUGUCGCUUUUUCUUCAAACAAGUCAAAACUUGAAAGGGCGGGUUGGUCUCGGCGGCGGUGGUGCGAGCGAACGGGAGGGAGGUGUACCGGGGCACUGGGUGGCACGGUGUCUCUGGGCUCAGGGGCUGGGGUUUCACCCCAAAUUGCCCGCAGGUUUCAGUAUUCUUUCGGGUUUAGAGCUCAUCUCUGCGCUCAAGGUACAUCCUGGUUUGUAUCAGGAACAGCGUGGUGA